Molecule: long non-coding RNA, 235 nt
Filed under: Monodelphis domestica (gray short-tailed opossum)
Lineage: Eukaryota; Metazoa; Chordata; Mammalia; Didelphimorphia; Didelphidae
Description: lncRNA (ENSMODG00000033661.2)
Source: RNAcentral
CACUACUAGAAUAGUUUCUUUCUGGUUGCCAGAAAUAUCUUCUCCUUGAUCUACAUGCUCUGGAUUUUGGCUAAGAAUUUUAAUUUGGUGAUUUCUUUCAGGAGUUCCUUUAAAAGAGGACAUGGACGAGGACAAUAUGAGACCAGAAGGCAUGAAUGGACCACAAUGCGCACCUAGGAGAGUAUCCAUUUUGAUGGGAAUAAGGAUCUAUUAAAAUUACUAAGCAUGUUUGAGG